UACGAAGGGGGCUAGCGUUGCUCGGAAUUACUGGGCGUAAAGCGCACGUAGGCGGCUCUUUAAGUCAGGGGUGAAAUCCUGGAGCUCAACUCCAGAACUGCCUUUGAUACUGAGGGGCUUGAGUCCGGGAGAGGUGAGUGGAACUGCGAGUGUAGAGGUGAAAUUCGUAGAUAUUCGCAAGAACACCAGUGGCGAAGGCGGCUCACUGGCCCGGUACUGACGCUGAGGUGCGAAAGCGUGGGGAGCAAACAGG
RNAcentral lists this ribosomal RNA (253 nucleotides) under uncultured bacterium. RNAcentral's name for it is "partial 16S ribosomal RNA". It matches the Rfam family "Bacterial small subunit ribosomal RNA", at positions 524 to 776 of the family's 1533-position model. The record is from RNAcentral.